This 272-nucleotide ribosomal RNA is filed under the name uncultured Lactobacillaceae bacterium. Its description in RNAcentral is "partial 16S ribosomal RNA". It matches the Rfam family "Bacterial small subunit ribosomal RNA", at positions 524 to 795 of the family's 1533-position model. Lineage: Bacteria; Bacillati; Bacillota; Bacilli; Lactobacillales; Lactobacillaceae. The record is from RNAcentral.
UACGUAGGUGGCAAGCGUUAUCCGGAUUUAUUGGGCGUAAAGCGGGUGCAGGCGGUUCGAUAAGUCUGAUGUGAAAGCCUUCGGCUCAACCGGAGAAUUGCAUCAGAAACUGUCGAGCUUGAGUACAGAAGAGGAGAGUGGAACUCCAUGUGUAGCGGUGAAAUGCGUAGAUAUAUGGAAGGACACCGGUGGCGAAGGCGGCUCUCUGGUCUGUUACUGACGCUGAGGCUCGAAAGCAUGGGUAGCGAACAGGAUUAGAUACCCUGGUAGUC